CUCCCCUCAGUCUCCUCUUCUCCAGGCUGAACAGACCAAGUGACCUCAGCCACUCCUCACACGGCUUCCCCCCAAGGCCCUUCACCAUUCUCACAGCCCUCCUUUGGACACUCCCGAACACCUCAAUGUCUUUUAUGGCAGUGACCGAAACUGAAUACAAUAUUCAAGGCUAUUAAUGCACUGUAAGAGGAUAGCCCUGACCUUGCAAAACAAGGGGAGAAAAUUUUCCAUGACUCUACAUACAGGCAACAGUGAGAGAUACAGAGGGAGGAGAGGAUGAAACAGAAAAUAUAGCACUUGUCAUGGUGGAAAACUGUUAAAGCAGACCAUGUUAAGAAUAAAGCAAAAGUGA
Long non-coding RNA from Poecile atricapillus (Black-capped chickadee), 352 nucleotides. RefSeq lists it as uncharacterized. The transcript has 2 exons. Lineage: Eukaryota; Metazoa; Chordata; Aves; Passeriformes; Paridae. The record is from RefSeq and is a predicted model, not a curated record.